UGAGUUUCUCUAAACAGCAUUAUGUGUAGCUCCAUAGUAGACCAGGACAGAUGUAGAUUUUUGUGACUGACACCUCACUUAAGGAAAACACUCACGUACCGUAACCUGUGUCACCGAACUCAAUGGCAAACUUGUCUGACGUGUUGGUGAAGUGACCUUAUGUACCAAGUUUGACCUUGAUACACAAA
Long non-coding RNA from Thalassophryne amazonica, 188 nucleotides. RefSeq lists it as uncharacterized. NCBI's taxonomy places the organism in Eukaryota, Metazoa, Chordata, Actinopteri, Batrachoidiformes, Batrachoididae. The record is from RefSeq and is a predicted model, not a curated record. The transcript has 3 exons.